Molecule: long non-coding RNA, 967 nt
Organism: Perca fluviatilis (European perch)
Lineage: Eukaryota; Metazoa; Chordata; Actinopteri; Perciformes; Percidae
Exons: 3
Source: RefSeq, a predicted model, not a curated record
CAUCCUGUAAUUUCACUGAUGGCUUAACAGUCUCUGCUCGCCCCCUUCCCAAAGCAGUUUAUCUUCUGCAGAAGCGAUAGGACAGUAAAUAAGUAGCUUACGACACACAAGAGCUUUUCCCUGACUACUGGGUGGUUGUCAGCGUUAAGUAGCGAUCCUUGCAUGCGCCGAGCUAACAUCAUGUGAUGGGACUGUGUUUCAUCGGGGCUUCCACUGCUACGGAGCUAAAAGCUUGAGAAAUUCACUAACAAAGAGCACCCUGCGGCUGCAACAGCUGAAUCCAAUUCCGCCUCCACCCUUUGAGGACAACACCCCCGGUGACCCUCAGGUCAAGAGGCUUAUAACCUGAGGAAGCCCGGCGGUCAUGUGACCUGCAGGUGACGACACACUGGAUUUCAUAUGACGCAGCAGUCUCUGAGCGGAGGCUGUCGGUGGUUCGGGACUGGAAAGGAGAUGUCACGCUUGCAAUGACUAACCCAUGACGACUGUUACAUCACAAAGGUUCUUGGGGACCUGUUGUACAAGAAUGUUGUGGAGCUUGCCAAUAACAUUUUGCAAAAAGAUUUUUUUACAGAGAUUUUUCUUUUUUUUAAUCUGUCUUUGUAGAAAUGAAAGGGAUAUUGAUAUGAUUUUGGGCAUAUAAUCAGUAAAAUUACGUUUUGAAAGAACUAAUCAGUCCGCCCAGGAAUUCGUGAUGUUGCAAUCGCAACAAUUCACGCAAAUUCAAUCAAUCACGGUGAAUUCGGUGCGACUCGCAAUUUUGACCAAUCACCGCAACUUUACCGCAAAUUUGACCAAUAACCGGAGUUUCCCGCGACUUCAACCAAUCCCACCAGUCCCACGUGCCAGACUUUGCGUCAGUGUGAGAACAGGGUGACGUAACACACGUACGUCACCAAAUUCAUUUCCUUGUUUCUGAUAUGAAGACGAGAUGUGUGUGACUCGAACUUCUCACAUUUACCAACAA